Molecule: ribosomal RNA, 502 nt
Filed under: uncultured bacterium
Lineage: Bacteria
Description: partial 16S ribosomal RNA
Rfam family: Bacterial small subunit ribosomal RNA
Source: RNAcentral
GAUGAACGCUAGCGGCAGGCCUAACACAUGCAAGUCGAGGGGCAGCACAGAAACAGCAAUGUUUUGGUGGCGACCGGCGGACGGGUGCGUAACGCGUAUGCAACCUACCUUUAACAGGGGGAUAACGGAGAGAAAUUUCCACUAAUACCCCAUAACAUCGAUCAAGGCAUCUUGAUUGGUUGAAAACUCCGGUGGUUAAGGAUGGGCAUGCGUUGUAUUAGGUAGUUGGUGAGGUAAUGGCUCACCAAGCCUACGAUACAUAGGGGGACUGAGAGGUUAGCCCCCCACACUGGUACUGAGACACGGACCAGACUCCUACGGGAGGCAGCAGUGAGGAAUAUUGGUCAAUGGGGGCAACCCUGAACCAGCCAUGCCGCGUGCAGGAAGACGGCUCUAUGAGUUGUAAACUGCUUUUAAACAGGGAUAAAGCACAGUAUGUAUACUGUGUUGAAGGUACUGUAAGAAUAAGGAUCGGCUAACUCCGUGCCAGCAGCAGCCGCCG